RNAcentral lists this microRNA precursor (77 nucleotides) under Bigelowiella natans CCMP2755. RNAcentral's name for it is "miRNA EPrBNAG00000013433". The record is from RNAcentral. Lineage: Eukaryota; Cercozoa; Chlorarachniophyceae.
GUGUCAUUGUAUUGAUGAUGAUGACGACGAUGAUGAUAGGAGCAUAUCAUCAUCGUCAGUCAUCAUCGUCAGUCAUC